AAACACGUCAAAUCUAACAAUAUAUGUAUAAAACAUGGUAAUUUCCUAUCUACGAAGGAAUUAAAAUUAUGUCUCUUAAAAUUUUAAAGUGAAGUUAUAUAUGUCAUAUCUCAUAAACAUGCGAGUAAUACACAUGCACAUGAUAAUGUACACAGGUGUCCACGAAACAUUUUUGUAACCAUAUAUACUAUUAAGGUGGUAUAUACAUAGACUAAGUCAAUAUUCCAACGUCAAUGCCAACCAUAGUCUCAGCCACCACAACCGCCUCCACACCCUCCGCCACCACAUCCACCUCCACCGUCCCCACCUCCACCGUCCCCAUGUCCACCGUCCCCAUGUCCUCCGUCCCCAUGUACACCGUGCCCAUGUCCUCCGUCACCACCACCACUGUCACGUCCACCACUGCCCCUUCCAUGAUGACCAUGAUCUCCAGUUGAAGUGGUGUGGGCAGGAGUUGUUGAUAUAGCCGUAGUCAUGUAAACCAUGUUACCAUCUUUGACACCAUCACCUCUGAAUUUGGCGGCACUAGCUUUAGAAGUAUGGAUGGCUUGAAAUCCUCCACUCUUUUUGUUUGUGUUAUCGAUUCUUUUCUUUCCAGCCGUGAGCACAAAUUUCCCAUAUCUC
Molecule: long non-coding RNA, 624 nt
Filed under: Cicer arietinum (chickpea)
Lineage: Eukaryota; Viridiplantae; Streptophyta; Magnoliopsida; Fabales; Fabaceae
Description: long non-coding RNA (CARI_LNC002995)
Source: RNAcentral